GUGGGAGAUCCACAGGCUGAGGAGGGCACUGCUAUUGCGAAUUGAAGAUUAGCCGACUGACAAUAAUGAUGAUAAUAAUAAUUAUUUUUUUUCUUUUAGCCUAUGUUUUUUAUUUGUUUUUGUUUAAUAAAAAAAUUACGUUUAAUCGACUUUGACAUUUUAAUUUUUGUUUAAUUUUCAUUCUGUCUAUUUCUUCUUCUCAACAAACAUGCGGACGAUUAAGGAAU
This 227-nucleotide long non-coding RNA is filed under the name Capsicum annuum. RNAcentral describes it as "long non-coding RNA (CANN_LNC016376)". The record is from RNAcentral. Lineage: Eukaryota; Viridiplantae; Streptophyta; Magnoliopsida; Solanales; Solanaceae.